AAGUCGUAACAAGGUUUCCGUAGGUGAACCUGCGGAAGGAUCAUUGUCGAAUUCGAAGGGGAGAACGACCAGUGAACCGUCUUUGCGUAACGAACCAAGCACGCGUGCACAAAAGGUGGCGCGUGUAGCGAGGCGUCGGUGCGGGCCUUCUCGGGAGGGCCGCGCCGCGCCCUAAACUAUCAACGUCAGCACGGAUCGUGCCAAGUACUGCAUUGGCGAGAAUCGUCGUCCUCCCCCUCUUUGGGGGGCUGGGGACGUGCGCGAUCUCUGCUCUUAUAGUCUGAAUGACUCUCGGCAACGGAUAUCUCGGCUCUUGCAUCGAUGAAGAACGCAGCGAAAUGCGGUACUUGGUGUGAAUUGCAGAAUCCCGCGAACCAUCAACUCUUUGAAUGCAGAAUCCCGCGAACCAUCAAUUCUUUGAACGCAAGUUGCGCCCGAAGCCAUUCGGCCGAGGGCACGCCUGCCUGGGUGUCGUGAAUCCCCUUGCCCUUGGGCACCCCGCAGAGCAUUGGCGGGGAUAUACGCUCGGGCGCAGAAUAUGGUCUCCCGUGGGAUCGGCAUGCACGGCAUGUCGAGGUGCGGUUGGCCGAAAAUCGAGCAGGCGGUGACKGGCACCACGGCGUUGGGUGGAUCGAAUGAGAUUGGSUGCGUCGUGGGCUCGGCRUGCGGCGGGCUCCGGACUUUGAAUAUCCCCGAGUGCGAUCCCAGGUCAGGCGGGGCUACCCGCUGAGUUUAAGCAUAUCAAUAAGCGGAGGAAAAGAAACUAACGAGGAUUCCCUUAGUAGCGGCGAGCGAACCGGGAAGAGCCCAGCGUGAAAAUCGUCCGCCAUCGGCGGCCGAAUUGUAGUCUGGAGAAGCGUCCUCAGUGACGGACCGGACCCAAGUUCACUGGAAGGUGGCGCC
This 903-nucleotide ribosomal RNA is filed under the name Monochaetum polyneuron. RNAcentral describes it as "eukaryotic LSU rRNA". The stretch from base 700 to 903 matches the Rfam family "Eukaryotic large subunit ribosomal RNA", at positions 1 to 204 of the family's 3401-position model. Lineage: Eukaryota; Viridiplantae; Streptophyta; Magnoliopsida; Myrtales; Melastomataceae. The record is from RNAcentral.